CUUUUUUAAUAGUUUAUGCUGACUGGAGACCAUCUCCGCUUAUUAGCUGACUAGAUCCAUGUUCUUAAUUGUCAUGCCCUAGAGAAAAAAGCUGAAGCUGGAGAGUAGGCUGAAUACCAUGUGGAAGCAGUUAAAACUAAAUGGAUCCCUGCAGUCAAGGAACAGUGGUCAGUGGUGAAAGAAUUUGUUGAACCUCAACAAAGUCUAUUGAAGCUUAUACAUCAAAGAGUACAUUAGCUCCCCAUGUUAUAAAAGCAUAAGAAUUUGUUGAUCCUUACUUUCAGGAGGCAAAGAAGUUGAGCAAGCCAUAUGUUGAUCACGUAGCCAUUGUUGCAAAACCUCAUCUUGAAAAAGUUAAAGAGUGGUGUUGAAGCUCUAUACAAAGCAGGUGGUUCAGGCCUACGAGAAAUUUCUCAAAUCCGCUUCCACAUAUCAUCAUCAAGUAUUGGCUUUUUGUCAUGCUGUGUAACUUUGUGAUAAUCUCUAUGGUUUUUUGUAAUGUUGACGGUCCUUAAAAACAAUGUCA
Molecule: long non-coding RNA, 526 nt
Organism: Rosa rugosa (rugosa rose)
Lineage: Eukaryota; Viridiplantae; Streptophyta; Magnoliopsida; Rosales; Rosaceae
Exons: 3
Source: RefSeq, a predicted model, not a curated record